RNAcentral lists this ribosomal RNA (403 nucleotides) under bacterium. Its description in RNAcentral is "partial 16S ribosomal RNA". It matches the Rfam family "Bacterial small subunit ribosomal RNA", at positions 355 to 776 of the family's 1533-position model. The record is from RNAcentral.
UGGGGAAUAUUGCACAAUGGGGGAAACCCUGAUGCAGCGACGCCGCGUGAACGAAGAAGGUAUUCGUAUCGUAAAGUUCUGUCCUAUGGGAAGAUAAUGACAGUACCAUAGAAGAAAGCUCCGGCUAAAUACGUGCCAGCAGCCGCGGUAAUACGUAUGGAGCGAGCGUUGUCCGGAAUUAUUGGGCGUAAAGGGUACGCAGGCGGUUUAAUAAGUCGAAUGUUAAAGAUCGGGGCUCAACCCCGCAAAGCAUUGGAAACUGAUAAACUUGAGUAGUGGAGAGGAAAGUGGAAUUCCUAGUGUAGUGGUGAAAUAAGUAGAUAUUAGGAGGAAUACCAGUAGCGAAGGCGACUUUCUGGACACAAACUGACGCUGAGGUACGAAAGCGUGGGGAGCAAACAGG